AGGCGGCGCGCGCCGGCCCCCCCCCGCCAUGCCCCCGUUAUGUAACGAGCGCGGCGGCGGCGCCCGGAGCGGCCUGGGCUGCCCUGCCCUGCCGUGCUGUGUGCGGGGCCGGCCCGUCCGGACACCCCUCUGAGCAGCCAGUGCCUCCAUGCUGCCCAGCUGGGGCUUGCAAUGGUUUAUCUCUCGUCAAGCGCUCUGCAUCAUGUUCCGUUCCGUGCCGUCACCCUUUCUUUCAGGACACAAAACCUUUCAAGGACCUAUGGCGAUUGUCUUGUAUGAGGGAAUGGAGAGCCAUGUCCUCCACACUGAAUGCACCAAUUUAAAAGCAAAACAAUAAAUAUGUCAAAGUGCA
Molecule: long non-coding RNA, 352 nt
Organism: Vidua chalybeata
Lineage: Eukaryota; Metazoa; Chordata; Aves; Passeriformes; Viduidae
Exons: 2
Source: RefSeq, a predicted model, not a curated record